UUUCUUUUUUCUCUACUUCUACUUAUCUUUCCCCAUUUCUCCUUUUCUUUUGCCUCUCCUCUCUCCCUGAUCUUCUUCUAUCCCCCACCACCGUGCACCACCAUCUCUCCACCGCAGGCAACCGCACCACGUCACCGCUACCACCACUCCACUAUGUCGCCGUCACCGACCAAGGUCACGGCAUCUCCACCCACCCCUUUCACAAAAUAUAUAAGCGUUACGAAAUGGGGCCCCAGUUGGAAUCGCUGAAGAUAUGAUGCUCCGGCCAGAUUUCGAUGUCGAAUACUUCGAUGGUGAUGUCAGAUCUGUAGUCAAUUUCUGACCAGAGGUCGCACUAGUUUCCGAGACAAGCGAACUGAGGGAGCUCAUAGUGUGAAGGUCGCAACGACAGUCCUCAAAGACGGCGAACAUGGAGGGUGGUUGUCCGAGAGAAGCGACUUGUUGAUCUGUGCGAUGCAGGGCAUGCCUUCCACCGACGCCACAGUGUCGUGAAGUAACGGCAGAGCCAGUCGGAGAAGAUAAAGGUGGACGCCAUCGGGAAGUCGUCGUGCCGAAAACAGCUCCAGCGGUCAGAGACCUUGAAGCGAAGGGAGAGUUCACAGGAAAUUUUGUACCCAUCUCCUUUCUUUGUUCACGCAGCGCUGCUUCUCUAAAAGACCUGAAACACGUCUAGGGUUUUCUUCAUUUUUCCUUUAAAAUUAUUUCUAUUACACGUCUAGGGUUGAUAUUACAUGUGUAGUUUCUACUCUUUGCUUGAUUCUUUAUGUAUUGAGAUUUAUGGUUGUAUUCACCAAUACUGAAUUGGGUCAAUGUAGCAUUGUAAUGAUUCUGUUUUUUUUUCCUACUGUAUUUGUUAGUAUAUAGUUUCCAUGUAAGAUAUACUUGUAUUUGUUUUGCCUAGACACUUAGUUUAUAAAGGCUUGAUGGUGCUUCCCUUCUCUGUCCCCAAAGGUGAAGGAUUCAAGGUGAUUAAAAUUGUUCUGUAAAUUGGGUCGAUUUAUGGUGGAUUCAGUGUGUUAUAUGGUUGAAGAGAA
Molecule: long non-coding RNA, 1034 nt
Organism: Glycine soja
Lineage: Eukaryota; Viridiplantae; Streptophyta; Magnoliopsida; Fabales; Fabaceae
Exons: 2
Source: RefSeq, a predicted model, not a curated record